Molecule: ribosomal RNA, 253 nt
Filed under: uncultured bacterium
Lineage: Bacteria
Description: partial 16S ribosomal RNA
Rfam family: Bacterial small subunit ribosomal RNA
Source: RNAcentral
UACGUAGGCAGCAAGCGUUGUUCGGAAUUACUGGGCGUAAAGAGUGCGUAGGCGGUGUUCUAAGUGUGGUGUGAAAUCUCCCGGCUCAACUGGGAGGGUGCGCCGCAGACUGGAAUGCUAGAGUAUGGGAGAGGUAAGCGGAAUUCCUGGUGUAGCGGUGAAAUGCGCAGAUAUCAGGAAGAACACCCGUGGCGAAGGCGGCUCGCUGGGCCGGUACUGACGCUGAGACGCGAAAGCGUGGGGAGCGAACAGG